Molecule: ribosomal RNA, 501 nt
Filed under: uncultured bacterium
Lineage: Bacteria
Description: partial 16S ribosomal RNA
Rfam family: Bacterial small subunit ribosomal RNA
Source: RNAcentral
AUUGAACGCUGGCGGCAGGCUUAACACAUGCAAGUCGAGCGGGGGAAGGUAGCUUGCUACCGGACCUAGCGGCGGACGGGUGAGUAAUGCUUAGGAAUCUGCCUAUUAGUGGGGGACAACAUCUCGAAAGGGAUGCUAAUACUGCAUACGUCCUACGGGAGAAAGCAGGGGAUCUUCGGACCUUGCGCUAAUAGAUGAGCCUAAGUCGGAUUAGCUAGUUGGUGGGGUAAAGGCCUACCAAGGCGACGAUCUGUAGCGGGUCUGAGAGGAUGAUCCGCCACACUGGGACGGAGACACGGCCCAGACUCCUACGGGAGGCAGCAGUGGGGAAUAUUGGACAAUGGGGGGAACCCUGAUCCAGCCAUGCCGCGUGUGUGAAGAAGGCCUUAUGGUUGUAAAGCACUUUAAGCGAGGAGGAGGCUACUUUAGUUAAUACCUAGAGGUAGUGGACGUUACUCGCAGAAUAAGCACCGGCUAACUCUGUGCCAGCCGCCGCAGUAA